RNAcentral lists this transfer RNA (72 nucleotides) under Chloroflexota bacterium. RNAcentral's name for it is "Chloroflexi bacterium tRNA-Asn". It matches the Rfam family "tRNA". Rfam says of the family: Transfer RNA (tRNA) molecules are approximately 80 nucleotides in length. Their secondary structure includes four short double-helical elements and three loops (D, anti-codon, and T loops). Lineage: Bacteria; Bacillati; Chloroflexota. RNAcentral also lists the same sequence under 2 other names. The record is from RNAcentral.
UGCGGUGUAGCCAAACGGUAAGGCAGCUGCCUGUUAAGCAGCCGAUUGCAGGUUCGAUUCCUGCCGCCGCAG